RNAcentral lists this ribosomal RNA (411 nucleotides) under uncultured eukaryote. RNAcentral's name for it is "SSU rRNA". It matches the Rfam family "Eukaryotic small subunit ribosomal RNA", at positions 592 to 1015 of the family's 1831-position model. The record is from RNAcentral.
CAAUAGCGUAUAUUUAAGUUGUUGCAGUUAAAAAGCUCGUAGUUGGAUUUUGGUUAAGAGGGCGCGGUCGGCCGUUUGGUCUGUACUGCGUUGUCUUGACUUCCUGAUGAGGACAUGCUCUUGGUUAACGCUGAGACAUGGAGUCAUCGUGGUUACUUGAAAAAAUUAGAGUGUUCAAAGCGGGCUUACGCUUGAAUAUAUUAGCAUGGAAUAACACUAUAGGACUCCUGUCCUAUCUCGUUGGUCUCGGGAUGGGAGUAAUGAUUAAGAGGAACAGUUGGGGGCAUUCGUAUUUCAUUGUCAGAGGUGAAAUUCUUAGACCCACGGAAGACGAACUACUGCGAAAGCAUUUGCCAGGGAUGUUUUCACUGAUCAAGAACGAAAGUUAGGGGAUCGAAGAUGAUCAGAUAC